Molecule: long non-coding RNA, 1064 nt
Organism: Xiphophorus hellerii (green swordtail)
Lineage: Eukaryota; Metazoa; Chordata; Actinopteri; Cyprinodontiformes; Poeciliidae
Exons: 2
Source: RefSeq, a predicted model, not a curated record
CCAGGAAACUGCAAUUUGUGGACGAGUUUGCAAGUGAAUUUUUGAAGGCAAAUAUUUUGCAGGUGACAUUUUAAAUGUGGCAUUAGAUACAUAAUUGCACAGGAUAAAAAAAUAUGUAUAAAUUCAAUGUCUAAAAAAAAUGUCUGAUUUUAAUUUGACUAAUUUUUUCAUAAGAAAAUCACUGACAGUCUCUAAUAACUUGGAAUCGUUUUGCUCAUGAGCUCCACUGUAAAAGAAAAAACUGAACAACAACUGUCAAACGGGUCAUAAUUAACUGGGUUUUCAUCGAGACGAUGAUCCCAAACGCAGCAGUAAAUUUAUAACAGAGUAGCUGAAAAAAAAAGAAAAAAAGAAUCAAGUUGUUUCAAUGGUCCUGUCAAAGUCCAGGCUUCUACUUGAUGGAUUACUGCUGGGGAAAAAAAACCUCAAUAAACUGAAGAGCAGUUAAAAACAGCAGUGGAUGAAGCGAUUUGUGAAACUGAUGUGAGGUUUUCUGCUUUUCCAAGCUGUUGUAUGGAUACACAGUUAUUUUUCACCACAGUUAUAGUCUGAAUGUGUGGAGGAUGACAUGGUGAAAGAGAUUCGAAUCUUAAAUGAUUACUAGGUGUGGAAAACAAAUGAAUUAAAUGAAUCUCAGUGACACGUGGGCACCAGUAUUUAAAAUAUGAGGUCUAACAGGUUUAAGCCCCGCCCCUUUUCUGACACACCUGGAAAAAUCCCGAGGCUGUGAACUCUACAUGCAGAGACUUCAUCUGGAAUAUUUUGGAUGCAAGAACUGAUUUAUUCUCCGGUGGUGGAUAAAUGCAGGCCAGGUUCCCGUUCCGGAUCCCAAUCCAGAUUCUGGAUUCUGAGCGUCUGUUGCCAAGUGGACCAGACUGGCGAGCUAAAUCACACAGCCAAUCAAGAAGAAACGUCACAUCCUGUCAACUCCUCCCCAUCUGGAGCUGAACUGGUUCAAUUCCUUGGAUAAAAGGGGAAAACACAUCUUGGAUUUCAUGAACUAUUUUGAACAACUUGUCUGUAUAUUUAGUAAAUAUCAAUACAUUUCACUAGUUUUGCACCAU